This 253-nucleotide ribosomal RNA is filed under the name uncultured bacterium. Its description in RNAcentral is "partial 16S ribosomal RNA". It matches the Rfam family "Bacterial small subunit ribosomal RNA", at positions 524 to 776 of the family's 1533-position model. The record is from RNAcentral.
UACGUAGGGUGCAAGCGUUGUCCGGAAUUAUUGGGCGUAAAGAGCUCGUAGGCGGUUUGUCGCGUCUGCUGUGAAAACCCGAGGCUCAACCUCGGGCCUGCAGUGGGUACGGGCAGACUAAAGUGCGGUAGGGGAGACUGGAAUUCCUGGUGUAGCGGUGAAAUGCGCAGAUAUCAGGAGGAACACCGGUGGCGAAGGCGGGUCUCUGGGCCGUAACUGACGCUGAGGAGCGAAAGCAUGGGGAGCGAACAGG